GGAUGAAAACUGAUUUGUUGCUUUGUUGAAGAUUACACAGAACAAGCAGUAAAUCCUAAAGGGAUGCUUCCCAUUUGAAUGACUGUUAGAUAAAGCUUUCAGUCUUCAUUAAAAAAAACCCCAAAAAAAUAAAAAAAAGCCACAAUGUAAAAAGCACCAGACAGUUUCAACUGAGAGGGCGAGUAUAGCUUGGUGUCAGAUGUAAGCUGAUACUGGAAAUGUGUUUGGAAGGACAAACAGAAGGGCACAUCUCUCCAAAUAGGAAAAGGAGCUGAAGUUGGGUUUUUCUUCAAAAGAAGAAAGUGCCUAUAAGGCCUACACAGGUUCUUCAGUCUGCAAACCUCCCUUUGAGAACAUUUCUUUCAACUCACAUUGCUGGAGCUCCUAAAUAUCUUUCAAGGCUCCUGAAAUAUGUGUAACGUAUAACCAUUUAGAAAAUGACAUAGCACCAAAUAAUGGGACCAUUCCUGUGGGAUGACAUGCUCGUGUUUUGAAGCAAAAGCCACACACAAGGAAGGCGUUCACCAAUUGGCUCACCAUAGCCCCCAAGGACUUGACCCAGAUCUGCUGGAUGGAUACAGGCAAAGUACCCACAAAUUAAAAUGAGUUUUAUGUCCUCUUAUGGUCCCUGUCAUCAUUUCAAUGUCUGUAUUACCAGAAAUUAUACUCAACUACUCUCAGACUAUAU
Long non-coding RNA from Passer montanus (Eurasian tree sparrow), 688 nucleotides. RefSeq lists it as uncharacterized. NCBI's taxonomy places the organism in Eukaryota, Metazoa, Chordata, Aves, Passeriformes, Passeridae. The record is from RefSeq and is a predicted model, not a curated record. The transcript has 4 exons.